GGCUAGUUAGCUCAGUUGGUUAGAGCGUGGUGCUGGUGACACCAAGGUUGUUGGUUCAAUCCCCACAUGGGCCC
Non-coding RNA from Rhinolophus ferrumequinum (greater horseshoe bat), 74 nucleotides. The record is from the annotation of a RefSeq genome assembly. Lineage: Eukaryota; Metazoa; Chordata; Mammalia; Chiroptera; Rhinolophidae.